Molecule: small nucleolar RNA, 142 nt
Organism: Gambusia affinis (western mosquitofish)
Lineage: Eukaryota; Metazoa; Chordata; Actinopteri; Cyprinodontiformes; Poeciliidae
Source: Ensembl
AAUGCACACUGUUAAAGCCGGGCGCUGAUGUGAGCGUUCUGGUGUCGGAAGUGUGCGAAAGUAAAGCGGAUCGGGGGUUUCGCUAACGCCAGGAGGACGGCCGUCCGAUGACUGGGGUAUGAAAACACCCCGGGCCACAGUU